CCCACGGGGUGCAGCAGUGGGGAAUAUUGGGCAAUGGGCGCAAGCCUGACCCAGCAACGCCGCGUGAAGGAAGAAGGCUUUCGGGUUGUAAACUUCUUUUCUCAGGGACGAAGAAAGUGACGGUACCUGAGGAAUAAGCCACGGCUAACUACGUGCCAGCAGCCGCGGUAAUACGUAGGUGGCAAGCGUUAUCCGGAUUUACUGGGUGUAAAGGGCGUGUAGGCGGGAAAGCAAGUCAGAUGUGAAAACCAUGGGCUCAACCUGUGGCCUGCAUUUGAAACUGUUUUUCUUGAGUACUGGAGAGGCAGACGGAAUUCCUCGUGUAGCGGUGAAAUGCGUAGAUAUGAGGAGGAACACCAGUGGCGAAGGCGGUCUGCUGGACAGCAACUGACGCUGAGGCGCGAAAGCGUGGGGAGCAAACAGGAUUAGAUACCCGAGUAGUC
This 443-nucleotide ribosomal RNA is filed under the name uncultured bacterium. Its description in RNAcentral is "partial 16S ribosomal RNA". It matches the Rfam family "Bacterial small subunit ribosomal RNA", at positions 338 to 795 of the family's 1533-position model. The record is from RNAcentral.